AUUGAACGCUGGCGGCAUGCCUUACACAUGCAAGUCGAACGGCAGCGCGGGAGCAAUCCUGGCGGCGAGUGGCGAACGGGUGAGUAAUACAUCGGAACGUGCCCAAUCGUGGGGGAUAACGCAGCGAAAGCUGUGCUAAUACCGCAUACGAUCUACGGAUGAAAGCAGGGGAUCGCAAGACCUUGCGCGAAUGGAGCGGCCGAUGGCAGAUUAGGUAGUUGGUGAGGUAAAGGCUCACCAAGCCUUCGAUCUGUAGCUGGUCUGAGAGGACGACCAGCCACAGUGGGAAUGAGACACGGCCCAGACUCCUAGGGGGGGCAGCGGUGGGAAAUUUGGGAAAAGGGGAGAAAGCCUGAUCCAGCCAUGCCGCGUGCAGGAGGAAGGCUUUCGGGUUGAAAACUGUUUUUGUAGGGAACAAAACGGUUUUUUCUAAAAAAGAAGGCAAAUGACGGUACAGAAAGAAAAAGCCCCGGCAAACUACGUG
This 484-nucleotide ribosomal RNA is filed under the name uncultured bacterium. RNAcentral describes it as "partial 16S ribosomal RNA". It matches the Rfam family "Bacterial small subunit ribosomal RNA", at positions 29 to 507 of the family's 1533-position model. The record is from RNAcentral.